GAAAUGCGAUAAGUAAUGUGAAUUGCAGAAUUCAGUGAAUCAUCGAAUCUUUGAACGCACAUUGCGCCCGCCAGUAUUCUGGCGGGCAUGCCUGUUCGAGCGUCAUUUCAACCAUCAAGCCCCGCGCUUGUGUUGGGGACCUGCGGCUGCCGCAGGCCCUGAAAACCAGUGGCGGGCUCGCUGUCACACCGGGCGUAGUAGAUUUUAUCUCGCUCAGGGCGUGCUGCGGGUUCCGGCCGUUAAAAAGCCUUUUUUACCCAAGGUUGACCUCGGAUCAGGUAGGAAGACUCGCUGAACUUAAGC
Molecule: unclassified non-coding RNA, 303 nt
Filed under: plant metagenome
Description: partial contains 5.8S ribosomal RNA, internal transcribed spacer 2, and large subunit ribosomal RNA
Rfam family: 5.8S ribosomal RNA (bases 1-105)
Source: RNAcentral